Molecule: long non-coding RNA, 2625 nt
Organism: Patella vulgata (common limpet)
Lineage: Eukaryota; Metazoa; Mollusca; Gastropoda; Patellidae
Exons: 2
Source: RefSeq, a predicted model, not a curated record
GAGUUAAACUAGGUCAGCCAAUAGCUAGCCUGUGUAAUGCUAAUGUUUGUUUAGACUGAAGUUCAGGUAGUGUUAGUGUAUCAACUGAUGUUAUUGCCUGACUUACUUGACCUACUUCAUUUCCUAGCUACACUCUGACUACACUAGAGUUACUCAUGUGUAACACUGGUGUUCAGUGACCUUCACCUCUAAUUUAAACAGACAAAGCUGGGUGAACAACAUGGCUCACAGCAGAACUCAAUGGAAACAGCACAAAAUCAUCUCUCUAGUUAAUUGUUUGGUUGAUAAUCAUGAAAUAUAUAAACAAGAGAAAAAGAACCUAAGUUUAGAAGUGUUUUAUACUACUAUUGCUGAACAAUUUAAUUGUACUUGUCAACAGUUGAGAGAUUUAUUGAAGAAUUUAGGCAAAGAAUAUCGACAGGUUUUACAAAAUAGAACAAAUGUUUCUGCAAGUUCAGUUACAAAUGAGGAAACACUGCAAUUACGUGACAGUAAAGAGCUUUUCGAUGUUUUUAGUAGAUACUAUACUAUUUAUUAUUCAAAAGGAACAACACACCAGCAAGACUACUUUGUGACACCUACUAAAGUGAAGAGAACAUAUCAUGAUUCGACUCAACCUGAUACUAGUGCAAACAGUUCACCUACAUUGACCAUACAUAAUUCUCAUAAUGCUACAGAAAGCAGGCCUGCAUCAACAGAAUAUAGACCCCAACCAUAUAGGCCUGCAUCAAAUGUAUAUAGAUCUACAGUAACAGAACAGAGGCCAAUGGGAGCCAAUAGUCAUUCCGGGGAGCAGCCUCAACCUAAACGAAAAAAGAAAUCAAAUGAUGGAAGUCAAGAUCCAUACAUAGAUUUGAUGAAAGAACAAAAUCAUUUACUGGCAAACUUGGUUAAUGAAAUCAGUUUUUUUCGGCAGAUUUAUUGUGAAGUAAAUAGUAAACAACUGUCUACAACAGUUCCUGAAAAUAAUGUCGAGUCUCCUGACUCUCCUUCUACUAUAACUAUAAAGAUGGAACCACCGGAUGAUGAAUAAACUAAGUAUCUAUCACAACCAUAACGUUAGAUAUAUGUUCAGAAUAAUAUAUAUUUGUACCAGCUAUAUUGUUCUUAUGCACCAACAUAAAUAAUUGCUGUCUUUACAGUGUAAGGAAUAAAUAUGCAAUGAUCAAUUCAGAAUUGCAGACAACACAAAAAUUGGGCAUGGUUCAGCCCCUGGGGGUUGCCUAUGUAACAAUAUAAAUAGAUACAACAACCCUAUGAUAGAUCACGCCAAAUUGGAUCCAAAUCUGUUAAUAAUGGCAACAUGUAGAUUAAUUACAGACAAAGUAUUAACAAAAAGUCUGUGUGGCACCGCCAAAGCAGGGCAGAUCAUGCACCAAAAUCAAUAGUUGCCGCCCUUAGGGUAUAAGGAAUAAGUAUACCAAGUUCCAAGAUAAUCCAUUAAGAAUUGUGGUCUUCAGAUGCUAAACACAAAAAAUGGGUGUGGCCCGGUCAGGGCAUGCACCAAAAACAACAGUUGCCGUCCGUAAGCUAUAAUGAAUACAUAUGCCCAGGUUCCAAGAUGAUCCAUUCAGAUUUGCGGCCCAUAUUUGAUAAACACAAAAAUGGGGCAUGGCUCUGUCCCUGGGGAUUGGGACAUGCACCAAAAUCAAUAGCUGCUUUCCUUCGGCUAUAGAAUAUAUGUACAAAGUUCUAAGACGAUCCAUUAAGAAUUGUGGCCUGUAGGCAACAAAAAGGCACACAAAGAAAAAAUGAAUGUGGACCUAUAUAAAAGGCUAUAUAUACUCUUCAAAAAAAGUAGGGGAUAUUCAGAAACAAUACCAAACUGCGGAAAUGCACUGCUGUUUUUAUUAGAGGUAACCAGUGUAUGUUAAUAACAGGCCAAUUGCCUACACAUGAACAUAAACAGUUCAUAUGGGCGGCUUAUCUGAUGGCCCCAUUUCACACGCAAAGAGAUACACCGUCAAAAGUGAAAAUGUACGUUUUUGAUUUUUGUCUUAACAAUGAGUAAUUGCUCCACCAAUCCUCAGACAUUCAGCAAUUCGUCGUGGCAUGCGUCCAACCACGAUUUGGGGCAGUCUGACCCACUCCUCUUGCAGUGCCACGGCCAAUUCUUGUAGUGUUGUCGGUUGACGUUGAUGAACAUGUCUCCCGAUCAUAUUAAACAUAACACACUAAAGCAAAGAUACGCUAAACAGUAAAUCUUAUGCAAGAACCGAUAGGAAUGCUAACAUGGAUAGAUAAACCAGCACACGGCAGUUUUCAUCAACCCUUCCUUGAAGUGUCAAAUUUGACAAUGAACACCUCCCACGUGUAUGGCGCUAUUGCGUGUCGCAUGUGCAGCUCAGUGGUUCUGUUGGGUCUCAAAGCGUGUCAAGUGUCCAUGACUAUUUAUCAUAUCACAACCUGCAUAGGUAUUUGCAUUUCAAUAUCCCCUACUUUUUUUUUGAAGAGUAUAUAUAUAAAACUGCUGAUUCUAAGAACCAUAAUGAUAAAGGAAUCAUUUGUUAUGUGAUGGUUAAUACAUGUAGUAAAAUUAUUACAUAUUUUAUUGCUUUUUCAAACAGAUGAUUAUACCCUGUAAUAAAGAUUCACAGUUGUAAAAUUAAAAGAUUUUAAAUUCCA